This 356-nucleotide transfer-messenger RNA is filed under the name Synergistaceae bacterium. It matches the Rfam family "transfer-messenger RNA". Rfam says of the family: Bacterial tmRNA, also known as 10Sa RNA or SsrA, is named for its dual tRNA and mRNA-like properties. Its role is to liberate the mRNA from a stalled ribosome. Lineage: Bacteria; Thermotogati; Synergistota; Synergistia; Synergistales; Synergistaceae. The record is from RNAcentral.
GGGGGCGACAGGUUUCGACGGCGUGUUGGAGGGUCUGGAGGAGCAGGCCGAGUUACGUCCGUAAUCCUCGUUAAACAUUCGGGCAAGACGAUAAACGUCGACAAUAGCUACGCUUUAGCGGCUUAAGCCCGCUACGUCGAUGGAUGGGCUGGUCUACCGGCCCGCCGGAGGCGUUACUUCAGGUAGAUGCUCCGCUCGUUGUCCGGUUCUGCGCGAGUGGAAAAGACAAGGGACCUUGGAAUGCGAAGGGUCGUUCUCUGCCGAUUCGCAGACGACAAUUAAACGGGAACUAAGCCUGUAGCGCCGCCACGGCUGGCCCACGUCGGACGGGGGUUCGAUUCCCCCCGCCUCCACCA